Homo sapiens (human) is the source of this 1831-nucleotide long non-coding RNA. RefSeq lists it as uncharacterized. The record is from RefSeq and is a predicted model, not a curated record. The transcript has 2 exons. NCBI's taxonomy places the organism in Eukaryota, Metazoa, Chordata, Mammalia, Primates, Hominidae.
GUCCCAGUGGGACUUCUUGCAGAAAUAGAAAAAUUAGAAAGCAUCCUAAAAUUCAUAUGGAAUCUUGAAGAACCCUGAAUAACUAAAACAAUCUGGUGAAAGAAAACCGAAGAUGUGUUACAAAGCUACAGUAAUCAAAACAGUAUGCAUAAAGACAGGCAUACAGACCAAUGGAACAGAAUAGAGAACCCAGAAAUAAGCCCUCACAGGUAUGGUCAAAUGAACACUGUGGUGUUCUUCAAAAAAUCCCUAUGACCCAGCAAUCCCACUUCUGGGUAUUUAUCCAGAAGAACUGAUCACAGGGUCUCACAGAGAUAUCUGCAUACCCUCGUUCACUGCAACCUUGCUCACCGUAACCAAGAGGUGGAAGCAGCCUAAAUGUCCUUUGAAGGGGGAGUGGCUAGAGAAAGCGUGGGAUUGUACACAGCAGAAUCCUCUUCAGCCUUCGGGAGGAAGAAAAUCCUGCCAGGUGCUACGCCGUGGAUGAAUCCUGAGGUUAUUAUGUUAAGGCAAUAAGCCAGUCACAAAAAGAUGCACACAAGAUGAUUCCACUCAUGUGAGAUUCCUAGAACAGUCAAACUCUUAGAGACAGAAAGAAUGGCUGUUGCUGUUGCCAGGGACAGUGCGGAGGGGGAAGACGAGUUGCUUAAUGGAUAGAUUCCAUUUUGCAAGAUGAAAAAGUUCUAGAGAUCUCGUGUGGUUAACACUGCUAUAUAUACACUUAGAAAAAAAGGUGAAGAUGAUAAAUUUUAUGUUAUGUGUCCUUUAUUACAACAAUAACAAAAAAAAAAGCAACCUCCAGAGAAGAAAGUCAGGCAGGAAAGAGGGAGCCGAAUCCCAUGGCCUGGGAAGAUGUCCUGGUGGAGAGGCCCUGCCCCAACCCUGGAAUCUCAGCUCUAUGGGCCCUGGAAUCCCCCAUGACCACCUGAGCCCUGGGGGGGCGGCUCCAUCACUGUCACCCAAGGUCUUUAGGAUGCACUCGGCCACUCAGACCCUACAAGGGAGCCCAGCCCGGACCUUCCACCGGCAAACCCAGUUCCCCUGCUGCCUCCAGCCCUGGCCUCACAGGACCCCAAAGGGCCCCUCCCGUGUGGAUCAAGAGGCCAGCAUCUGAGGCUGGUCAUGUCAUCAAUCACUGCUGCAGAGACAGGAGGUGCUGACGAGGGCCAUGUGCAAAGACAGAAGAGCUGACGAGGGCCACUGGGGCCCAGCCUUCCCUUCUCAUUAGAGGCCUAAUGAGCCGCACACCUUCAGAUUCCAUUUCAGUGAAUUAUCAACACCUAAUCUGAGGGAAUAAUGGGCAAGACCACCUGCCACACAGUGAUUAGAUAAACACGCUGAGAGACAGGAUGGAAAGAACUCUGCACCAGUGCAGUCCCCAGAGCUGGGAUGGCAUCAGAAAUGAUGUAGGGGUCACUUGUGGGGAAAGACUGAUUUUAAUCAUGAGGAUCAUGUUGGGAGAGGCUCACAGUGUGCUGCAUGUGGACACCAGGAUGAAGGAGGAGGAGGAGGAGGGGCAGACCCGGGGCCCGUCUCGUGUUCACUCCUGUCAGGGGCUCCCGGGCAGCGUGUGGAUGAAGCAGGAGGAUGAAGGGCAGACCUGGGACCCGUCUCAUGUUCACUCCUGUCAGGGGCUCCUGGGCAGCGUGUGGACGCCAAGAUGGAGGAGGAGGAGGAGCAGACCCCAGGCCCCUCUCGCGUUCACUCCUGUCAGGGGCUCCCCAGCCGGAGUGGGGGCAGUGGGUGCUGGGGCUGACCGGUCAUGAAACACAGCUGUUGUCAUAAAUUAAAUCCUGUAAACUUACAAUGGAAUAAAUUAUGUGAAAACGAA